Molecule: ribosomal RNA, 259 nt
Filed under: uncultured bacterium
Lineage: Bacteria
Description: partial 16S ribosomal RNA
Rfam family: Bacterial small subunit ribosomal RNA
Source: RNAcentral
GUCCACGCAGUAAACGAUGAUAACUCGUUGUCGGCGAUACACAGUCGGUGACUAAGCGAAAGCGAUAAGUUAUCCACCUGGGGAGUACGUUCGCAAGAAUGAAACUCAAAGGAAUUGACGGGGGCCCCGCACAAGCGGAGGAACAUGUGGUUUAAUUCGAUGAUACGCGAGGAACCUUACCCGGGCUUGAAAGUUACUGACGAUUCUGGAAACAGGAUUUCCCUUUGGGGCAGGAAACUAGGUGCUGCAUGGUUGUCGU